UGUGACGGCGUGCCUUUUGUAGAAUGAGCCAGCGAGUUGCGGUGUGCGGCGAGGUUAAGUUUGUAAACGAGCCGCAGCGAAAGCGAGCCUUUAAGAUGGCGAGUGAGUCGCACGCUGCAGACGCGAAGCCGGGUGAGCUAUCCAUGGGCAGGCUGAAGCGGGGGUAAGACCCCGUGGAGGGCCGAACCCACUUCGGUUGAAAACGGAGGGGAUGACCCGUGGAUAGGGGUGAAAGGCCAAUCAAACCCGGAGAUAUCUCGUUCUCCCCGAAAUAGCUUUAGGGCUAGCCUCGGCCGUUCACCCGCGGUGGUAGAGCCACCGGAUCGACGAGGGGGCUUCACCGCCUACCGACUCGAGCCGAACUCCGAAUGCCGCGGGUACACAGGCCGGGAGUCAGAGGGCGUGGGCUAAGCUGCGCGCUCGAGAGGGAAACAGCCCAGACCGCCCGCUAAGGCCCCCAAGUCAUCGCUGAGUGGCAAAGGAUGUGCGUCUGCCCAGACAACCAGGAUGUUGGCUUAGAAGCAGCCAUGCAUUUAAAGAGUGCGUAACAGCUCACUGGUCGAGUGGACAUGCGCCGACAAUUCACGGGGCUAAGCGAUGCGCCGAAGCGGCGGACUGAAGAUUCAGUGGUAGGGGAGCUCUCCGCAGGGGGAGAAGCCGGGGGGCGACCCCCGGUGGACCGUGCGGAGGUGAGAAUGCUGGCAUGAGUAACGAGAGCGGCGCGAGAAACGCCGCCGCCGUGAGCCUAAGGGUUCCUGGGCGAGGCUAAUCCCCCCAGGGUCAGUCGGGAGCUAAGGCGAGGCCGGGAGGCGUAGCCGAUGCGCAGCGGGCAGAGAUUCCCGCACCGCCGACGGCGCGGCACUACCGAUGGGGCGACGGAGAAGGGUAGCCGGGCGGGGUUCUGGACGUCCCCGUGAAAGCGCGUAGGGCGAGGAGCGUGGAAAUCAGCUCCUCAUGUGAGCCUGAGACGCGAGACGAAGCGACUUGGCGAAGCCGGUGAGCCCAUGCUUCCGAGAAAAACCUCUAGGGAGUGCCGUCGGCGCCCGUACCAAAACCGACACAGGUGGGCGGGUAGAACAUACCGAGGCGAUCGGGAGAACCACGGUUAAGGAACUCGGCAUACUGGCCCCGUAACUUCGGGAGAAGGGGCGCCCCCGCCGGUGAAGGACCUCGCGUCCGGAGCUAGUGGGGGCCGCAGCGAAACGGCCCAAGCGACUGUUUAUCAAAAACACAGGACUCUGCAAAGCCGCAAGGCGACGUAUAGGGUCUGACGCCUGCCCGGUGCCGGAAGGUUACGCGGAUGGGUUAGCGCAAGCGAAGCCCUGAAGCCAAGCCCCGGUAAACGGCGGCCGUAACUAUAACGGUCCUAAGGUAGCGAAAUUCCUUGUCGGGUAAGUUCCGACCUGCACGAAUGGCGUAACGAUUUGGGCGCUGUCUCAACCGUGGACCCGGUGAAAUUGUACUGUUCGUGAAGAUGCGAACUACCCGCGGAAGGACGGAAAGACCCCGUGAACCUUUACUGCAGCUUGGCAUUGGCAUCUGGUACGGCGCGUAGAGGAUAGGCGGGAGCCAUCGAAGCGGGGGCGCAAGCCCCCGUGGAGGCGACCUUGGAAUACCGCCCUCGUCGUGCCGGCUGCCUAACGCGCGGCCGUGAUCCGGCGCGCGGACCGUGCCAGGCGGGUAGUUUGACUGGGGCGGUCGCCUCCCAAAAUGUAACGGAGGCGCGCGUAAGGUCCGCUCAGGACGGUCGGCAACCGUCCCGAGAGCGCAAGAGUGCAAGCGGGCUUGACUGCGAGACUGACAAGUCGGGCAGGUGCGAAAGCAGGUUCUAGUGAUCCGGCGGCCCAGAGUGGAAUGGCCGUCGCUCAACGGAUAAAAGGUACUCCGGGGAUAACAGGCUGAUCUUGCCCAAGAGUCCACAUCGACGGCAAGGUUUGGCACCUCGAUGUCGGCUCAUCGCAUCCUGGGGCUGAAGUCGGUCCCAAGGGUACGGCUGUUCGCCGUUUAAAGCGGUACGCGAGCUGGGUUCAGAACGUCGUGAGACAGUUCGGUCCCUAUCCUCCGCGGGCGCAAGGGAGUUGAGGAGAUCUGCCCCUAGUACGAGAGGACCGGGGUGGACGGACCUCUGGUGACGCGGUUGUCGGCCAACGGCACCGCCGCCUAGCUACGUCCGGCACGGAUAACCGCUGAAGGCAUCUAAGUGGGAAGCCGCCUCCGAGAUGAGCUCCCUUUCCGGUAAGGGCCCUGGUAGAACACCAGGUCGAUAGGAUGCAGCUGCAAGCGCGGCGACGCGCUCAGGCGAGCAUUACUAAUAGCCCGAGCUCUUCGCUUG
RNAcentral lists this ribosomal RNA (2332 nucleotides) under Adlercreutzia caecimuris B7. RNAcentral's name for it is "bacterial LSU rRNA". It matches the Rfam family "Bacterial large subunit ribosomal RNA", at positions 592 to 2925 of the family's 2925-position model. The record is from RNAcentral. Lineage: Bacteria; Bacillati; Actinomycetota; Coriobacteriia; Eggerthellales; Eggerthellaceae.